This 65-nucleotide transfer RNA is filed under the name Armatobalanus allium. RNAcentral describes it as "tRNA-Thr". Lineage: Eukaryota; Metazoa; Arthropoda; Thecostraca; Balanomorpha; Balanidae. The record is from RNAcentral.
GUCUAUGUAAUUUAAAUAAAAUACUGGUCUUGUAAAUCAGAAAUAGAAAAACAUUCUCUUAGACU